RNAcentral lists this ribosomal RNA (292 nucleotides) under uncultured bacterium. RNAcentral's name for it is "partial 16S ribosomal RNA". The record is from RNAcentral.
GGACUACUAGGGUAUCUAAUCCUGUUUGCUCCCCUAGCUUUCGCAGUUGAGUGUCAGUAAUGGUCCAGGUACCUGCUUUCGCCAUCGGUGUUCCUCCCGAUAUCUGCGCAUUUCACCGCUACACCGGGAAUUCCAGUACCCUCUCCCACACUCAAGUCUGGCAGUUUCUGUUGACCUCUCUCAGUUAAGCCGAGAGCUUUCACAACAGACUUACCGAACCACCUACCUGCCCUUUACGCCUAGUAAUUCCGAGUAACGCUUGCCACCUUCGUAUUACCGCGGCUGCUGGCAC